This is a long non-coding RNA of Lemur catta (Ring-tailed lemur), 1055 nucleotides long. RefSeq lists it as uncharacterized. The transcript is spliced from 4 exons. Lineage: Eukaryota; Metazoa; Chordata; Mammalia; Primates; Lemuridae. The record is from RefSeq and is a predicted model, not a curated record.
UGUUAUGUUGUAGUCUAUUCCACUUUUUGAAAAGAAUGAUAUGUGAAUUUUUUCCCCCCAGCACAGAAGUGGAACUUUCCAGAAAGUCUGAACAUAUUGCCCUACUUGAACUUACAGGAUAGCAGCUGCUUGGAGACCCUGUGAGGCAGCUUGGGCCUUUUGUACUCCACCUGUGUUCAGCUAUUGGCAUUAUACUGUGAUGAUCCCAGGUUUGUUUUCUCCUGACACCAAACCUCUGGCCUGGCUUCUUAUACAACAAUCUUAUACCUGGAACAUAGUGCACAGCCUGCAAGAGAAAACUCUGUGUGAGCCCAGCAUAUCUCUGAAUCAUCUGGAGAAAAUAGAGCAUUGGCCCAGGUUUACCAAGGAAUUAGAGAACUUGGCUGGAUAGCAGCUUACACAGAACAGACUUGGGGAUUUUAUGUGACUACAAACUUGCUCUGACCCAACAGCAAGACAGAAUUCCUGGAAAUGUCUGUCCAAGCCCACAUGGUCCUUAAAGAGGUUGAAAUUUCAAAUCCUGCAUGGCCAAAUUCCAGGGCACAGUCUAGGUCAUGCCAUGCUUAGAGUUCAGCGUCACAUCCUGUGGAUCAAAAUUCAAAGGGUCACUCUUGGAGUGAAAAAAUUUGGAAGAGGUGGGGAGAAUGAAGAAGGAUCUGGAAAAUUUGCCAUAUGAGGAGUGGUCAGAAGAACCAGGAAUGUUUCGUCAGAGGAAGAGAACUGUAAAUUGUCUUCAAAUAUCCCAGGAGCAUGACCUGGACAGUGGAGCCAUCUUACCUGGGUCUUGGAGGUCAGGACUAAGCCAGUGGAUAGAUGUAAUUCAAUGUGAGGAGGACACAGCAAGAAGGUGGCCAUCUGCAAGCCAGGAAGAGAGUCCUUACCAGAACGUGACCAUUCUGUCACCCUGAUCCCUAGAACUGUGAGAAAAUAAACUUCUAUAGUGUAAGCCACCCAAUUUACGGUAUUUUACUAGGGAAGCCUAAACUAAAGGUAAAGAAAUCUCAAGAUUAUAAAUAAACAUAAAAAUCCACAAAGAUUUAAGGAAGUGAAGGAAC